This 460-nucleotide ribosomal RNA is filed under the name uncultured bacterium. RNAcentral's name for it is "bacterial SSU rRNA". It matches the Rfam family "Bacterial small subunit ribosomal RNA", at positions 30 to 483 of the family's 1533-position model. The record is from RNAcentral.
AUUGAACGCUGGCGGCAUGCCUUACACAUGCAAGUCGAACGGCAGCACGGGAGCAAUCCUGGUGGCGAGUGGCGAACGGGUGAGUAAUAUAUCGGAACGUGCCCGGUCGUGGGGAUAACGUAGCGAAAGCUACGCUAAUACCGCAUACGAUCUACGGAUGAAAGCGGGGGGAUCGCAAGACCUCGCGCGAUUGGAGCGGCCGAUAUCAGAUUAGGCAGUUGGUGAGGUAAAGGCUCACCAAGCCGACGAUCUGUAGCUGGUCUGAGAGGACGACCAGCCACACUGGGACUGAGACACGGUCCAGACUCCUACGGGAGGCAGCAGUGGGGAAUUUUGGACAAUGGACGCAAGUCUGAUCCAGCCAUUCCGCGUGCAGGAUGAAGGCCCUCGGGUUGUAAACUGCUUUGUACGGAACGAAAGGGUUUCUAUUAAUACUUAGGAGCUCAUGACGGUACCGUAA